Long non-coding RNA from Spinacia oleracea (spinach), 2719 nucleotides. RefSeq lists it as uncharacterized. The record is from RefSeq and is a predicted model, not a curated record. The transcript is spliced from 5 exons. NCBI's taxonomy places the organism in Eukaryota, Viridiplantae, Streptophyta, Magnoliopsida, Caryophyllales, Amaranthaceae.
UAAUGUCAAAUUUGGACGCGGUUCAUCUCAAAUAAUUCAAAAAAUAUUGAGCGGUCUUUUUUCACAAUUUAGUCGUCGUUAAUGUCUAGGUAAUUUUUUGGAAACCCUUUCGCCUCUUUUUUCUUAAGCAAAAUAAUUUGCACGUCUCUCUCUCCUAGAAUUUGAGAUCUGGUGAGGCUUUGAUUGCAAUAUCAAGGUCUGCAAAAAUCGUUGGAUAUGAAGGUGAAAGAAUACAUAAGGAAAUGGUGUUUUCUGAGGUAGGAUUUCAUGAAGUUCGAGCACUUGUGUUAUUGGUAUCGAAAGCAUGUUAGGAAUUGGUGGAUUUUGCAAAUUUUGGUUCUCGAAAUUGCCUUCUUCUGAGAUUUGGAGACUCAGCGAGUCAGUGAGGAUGGAACCCGCCAGAGCGAUAGCGGCACUAGCGUCGUGGUGGUGGUGACACGACUAGUUGGCACUUUCACUACAAGCAUCAACGUCGUCAAUAACUCAGAUUUUUACCUUAAUUGCAGUUGAAUCCGUUUGAUGAUUCCAAGAAUUUCGCAAAUCAUGAGAGGAGUUGGUUGGGUUUGAAGAUUUGUCAAGGCAAUUUACAGAAAAUCGAAGGAUUGGUCUAUUGUAUCUGUUAACCCUCAAAAGAUUGAGGAAACGGCAGAGUAAUUGUCAGACGCGGGGAGGAGGAGGACAAUUGGUUCAUUGAAGUGUUUUUCUAUUACGAAUUCAAGGUAAUUUAGGUUUUUUGUUACAAUUUUUAUGGUUGUUCAAUUUAUUAAUCUUUAAAAAAAUUGAGGAACUUAAAUGACCUCAAAGCCGAAAAUGAAAUACUAGAUAUUUAGUCUUGUAUGCUUGAUAUUGUUGGUGAUUCAUUAGUCAAAAAUCUAUCAAUAGAAAUGUCUUGCAGAAAGCAAAGGUGAUUGUGCAGGUUGAUGAUAUAUUUAUUCCAAUUGUGGCGAAUGGAACCUUAGAAAUUCAUCAGGUCCGCCACAUUGGCUGCUUCUUAUUAUAUUUGUAAGGAUGGAGUCUACUUGUGUACAUGCCUGGUUAUUGGGCGGGGCGGGGCGGGUCGGGGAGGGUCACUAGAGGGUCAUUUAAAUUUUUUAGUGGGUCGAGCUAGGGUCAGGGUCAGGGUCAAAAGCGGGUCAUUAGCAGGACAUCAAUGUCUCUGCGAAUUGCUAAGGAGUUGUCGAUCUAGAAGAAAAAAAGUAGGAUAGACAUGAUCAUACUUAUUCAUACAAUAAAUCUUCCAUUGAUAAGAAUAACUAACCAUGAAAUCAUCAAUCUUAAAAAAAUAAAACCUUGAAUACUUAAUCUGUACUAUGAACAAGAAAGCUUUCCAAAGAAAUUGAUGAGAUGUCAAGUUGUCGACCAAAACAGGCAUUAAUCAAUUGAUAAAACUGAAAUGAAUUACUUGUACUUGUUUUCCUGAAUUUCGAACUACCUAUAAAAAGUGAGAAUAAUUCAACAAAAAAACAGUGAGAAUAAACUGAUGUUUGUAAUUUUGUCAUCAAUUGAGAAUAAACUGAGUUUGUUUUGGGUGGGUAAAUUUGCAAUUGGCUGAUCUUUGCAAAGUUUUGGGUACUGUCAAAGGAAGAGCAAGCAAAGAGUCGGUAGUUCGAGGAGCUUAAUUAGAAUUUCUAAGCACGGAGGAGAGAGAAAAUGCAUAUACAGAGAAAAAAGUGAGAGUGGUCUUUGAUCUUCUGACCCUAUUGUUUGAGAUUUGGGCCUUCUACCACACAAAGCUAUAUUAAUGGGUUGUCAAUAAAGACCCUAUAAUGACCCUUUAUCAUUUGACCCUAUAAUGCCCUUGUCCAAUAUAAAAUAAAAGGGUCAAAGCCCUUUAAUAUUUGGCCCGACCCUUUUGCCAUUUAGAAAACCCUAUCAAUUUCCUCUAUGAGAAUCUGGUUAGCUAAUUUUCACCUAAUAGUUUAACAUUAUGCUCUCAGUCUCAUUAAGCUGUCCGAGCUUUCAAUAAGAUGCAAUCAAUUUAUUCUCACUUCAAAAUAACUUUUGUAUGUAUUUGUCGGUUUUUGCAGAAUCCUACGUUUUCUAAAUGAGCGAGCAUCUGCUCUCACACUUAUUACGAUAAUCAUACUAUUUCCUCCACCAGCUAUUCUCGACUUCCAAUUGUAUCUUCAUUCUCUGGUUAUCUUGUACUAUCUAAGUGUACAAGCAAUAGUAGCUGAGUAUAUCCUUCAUUCGUUCUUUCGAACCUGAUAGAUUUAUAAUAUUGCUACACAAACUGACAUGUUUGGUGAGUGGGGAAGUUAUGAGUGACAGAUUUAUAUUACUCCUACACAAACUGACAUAUUUCAUCCACAGCCUGAUCCUGCACAAGCUGAUGCUGCACUUUCCUCUAUAUUUUUUUUUCUUUUCUUCUGCUAAAUGCCAUGGUUGUACGUGUUGUAGGAGGAAAUUCAGAAAAUAAAGGCAGAAGAACCAAUAGCGUGAUACUGUACAAGAAGAAAACAAUGCACUUAAGAGCCACAUGAGUUCAGUUGAAGAUGAACUUAUAUCAUUUAAGGAAGUGUUACUACAACGGCUUAAGGCUCCAACAGAGGAGACUUCAACUAUUUAGAUUUUAUUUUGUUCUAUUAGAUUGAACAUGAGUUAUUUAUUUAUUAGUUUUUUAGAAUUUAAAGACAACGAGAUGUGAUUGUUGGGUUCACAUAACUUGAAGUUCUAUUGUCAAAUUUUUUUUGAUCAAUGAAAUUUUCAUUUGUUUUAA